UUGAGUUUUGAACGGGUUGUAGCUGGCCUAUAAAAAGGCAUGUGCACGCCUGGCUCAUUCACUCUAAAUCUUUGUGCACUUUUUGUAGGAAUGACAGAUGCUGACUUUUGUCAGUUGAAGUUUUUUCUAUGUUUUUAUCACAAACAUUUCAGUAUCAGAAUGUAACUUUGCAUAUAAUGCAUUAUAUA
Molecule: unclassified non-coding RNA, 188 nt
Filed under: uncultured fungus
Lineage: Eukaryota; Fungi
Description: sequence contains ITS1, 5.8S rRNA gene
Source: RNAcentral